RNAcentral lists this ribosomal RNA (818 nucleotides) under uncultured Bacteroidota bacterium. RNAcentral describes it as "bacterial SSU rRNA". It matches the Rfam family "Bacterial small subunit ribosomal RNA", at positions 76 to 897 of the family's 1533-position model. The record is from RNAcentral. Lineage: Bacteria; Pseudomonadati; Bacteroidota.
GCUUGCAAUCCGCUGACGAGUGGCGCACGGGUGCGUAACGCGUAUAGAACCUACCCUUUACAGGGGGAUAGCCCGGAGAAAUUCGGAUUAAUACCCCAUGGUAAUGCUUCGGGGCAUCCUGAAGUGUUUAAAGUUUCGGCGGUAAAGGAUGGCUAUGCGUCUUAUUAGUUAGUAGGUGAGGUAACGGCUCACCUAGACAGCGAUAAGUAGGGGCCCUGAGAGGGGGAUCCCCCACACUGGUACUGAGACACGGACCAGACUCCUACGGGAGGCAGCAGUGAGGAAUAUUGGACAAUGGUCGAGAGACUGAUCCAGCCAUGCCGCGUGCAGGAAGACGGCCCUAUGGGUUGUAAACUGCUUUUUUACGGGAAGAAUAAUGCCCACGUGUGGGCAGAUGACGGUACCGUAGGAAUAAGGACCGGCUAACUCCGUGCCAGCAGCCGCGGUAAUACGGAGGGUCCGAGCGUUAUCCGGAAUCAUUGGGUUUAAAGGGUCCGCAGGCGGGUCAGUAAGUCAGGGGUGAAAGUUUGCGGCUUAACCGUAAAAUUGCCAUGGAUACUGGGGAUCUUGAAUUCAGUUGAGGUUGGCGGAAUUUAUGGUGUAGCGGUGAAAUGCAUAGAUACCAUAAAGAACACCUAUUGCGAAGGCAGCUAACUGGACUUGAAUUGACACUGAGGUACGAAAGCGUGGGGAGCGAACAGGAUUAGAUACCCUGGUAGUCCACGCCGUAAACUAUGGAUACUCGUUGUUGGCGAUAUACUGUCAGUGACCAAGCGAAAGCGUUAAGUAUCCCACCUGGGAGUACGCUCGCAGAGUGA